Long non-coding RNA from Ostrea edulis (European flat oyster), 2163 nucleotides. RefSeq lists it as uncharacterized. NCBI's taxonomy places the organism in Eukaryota, Metazoa, Mollusca, Bivalvia, Ostreida, Ostreidae. The transcript is spliced from 3 exons. The record is from RefSeq and is a predicted model, not a curated record.
CAACGAACAAAUGUUGAAAUGCAGUAAACGAAUGAGCAAAUUCGAAUGUCGAACUAUCAUCGGACGGAUUACCAAAUUUUUUUUACUGUAACUCGCAACUGCAAUGUGCAAAUGCUCAAAUACGGAUGACGAAGAUCUAAUUUCAAAUUUACAUUGAAUAAAUAAUGCAUUCACUUGUUACGCAUCUACACAGGCAUUACAUUCCUUUACAUCUUACGCCAUUCAAAUAAUGGGGUUUAUCCAAUGUGGAUAAACCUGGUUAUUUUGUGCAGGUCAUAUUCAAAGCUCCAUUUAAAUUCUUGCUGUUUUAAUUAAUUUAAAUCGGGUUCAGUAGGUAUACUAGCUUUCACUUCCUUUAAUCUGCGCAUGUCUUCUAGAUUAUUCCUUUCCAUUUCGUAGUUUGAAAGGUGCAGACGCACAAUUAUUUUUUCAAUUGUAAUCUGUAGUAAUCCUGCGAGUUUUGGUCAGUUAAGACAGAGAUGCUUCGGGCAGCGAGGAAAACAAAAGAAAAGAGUCUGUAUUACAGGACAAAAGCAGUAAAUUUAGGCUGUUUACCGUCCUAGAAAGCGGCGAGUAGCAGCUACUGUGACUCGUGCCAACGCCGCCAUAUUGCAACCUGAUAGCUGAUGAGACUGAAAAUGCAGCUCCGGGGUGAUGCAGGGUUCGAGACCGGCAAUGUUUCAAGGUGCAGUUCUGGUGGUUAUGCAGAGUGCGACACCAUUGUUGUUACCAAAUCGGCCUAUAUAUACAGCACCGGCGGUGACGCAGACUACAAUGCAGACGGAGGCACUGGUCGUGAUUCAGCCUGUUUCGAGACUAUAGCUCUAUAUCGACUGCCUUAACGUUCGAUGAUGCGGGUACAAAUACUUACAGUUCGACAUCUCCAUUUAGACACAGUUUUCGUGAAAGUUUUACUUUGGCUGGAGUAAAUCAUAAGAUCAAUCGGUUUCCAGACAGCAUAGGAUAUGCUCAUCAGAAGAUAUGCAAGGGAAUUAGACUUCGAAAGCUAAUACCGAUAAUACCACUAUGCAGACACAUUGAAAAAGUAUAGGGAUGCACAAGAAAUACACCAGUUUUACCAUAAAGAUGGCAUUACUUAAGGCCAUGAAGAAAUGGAAAUCAAAAUAAUCAUUCUGAAAUUCUAUCACGCAUGCUUGGAUGAUCUUGAGAGGUUCUCCAUGUUUGUAUUCUUGAACGGUCGUUACAGGGACAAGUGUGAUUAGCAGUACAAACGAAAGGGUUAAGGUACAAAUGAUAAUAUGGAUAAGCAAAAACAUGACUAUCCAUCUCUGUAGUCGGAAAUUCUUGAACUUCAUCGGAAAAGCAAACAAACCCACAAUCCUCGCCGUCAUCAAUGAUUUCAACAAAAGAGAUGAACCGUGGAUAAUUCCCUGAAUACGGAAUGAGACCAGGAGAAAUCUGCAUAUUUUAUACUCGACAAAUCCAUAGUUCAUGUUGAGGAAGAUCAAUACCCCAUCUCUUAUCCCUGCAAAGAGUGCGAAGAACAUAUCCAGCGCGAUGGAGAGAACAAGAAGUUUUUGGGUGACUCCAAAAAGUUUGGAUUGUUUGAAGGCAACUACAACAAUGAUCAUCACAAUCAGUGGAAUGAUCCAAAUAUAUGGAGAUACAUAUAUUGUGAAUUGUACCAUAUAAUCCUCGUAGAAAUCCGAAAAUCUAAAAGCAUUUGAAACAACUCUUUUCGCCUCAUAUAGAUUGUCUACCAUGAGUUUUGCUCUUUGAAAAUGUUUUUCGUUCUCUUUAUCCAUUGUUGAAAUUAAUUCGAGUUGGAAUCCAAUCAAACUUAGUGUUGCUUGUUUAGGAGUACAGUACUAUUUCAGCAUCAAAUGUUUUUCUCGUUCCACUGCAAAUUCGACAUAAAAUGCACCGUAUAUGAAGAGAUCUCUAGAACAAAUAAUGGUGUAUUACGUUACCAUUCCCAAAAGGAAGUAUGGGGAACACUGGCCACGACAGAUAAUCAAGGCAAGUGGCUGUGUUGUGCCAAAAGUAAUGACGUGAAUUGGAUUAUAUUUUAUUCAACUCGAAAACAAAACUGUUCGAAAUGUCACCCAAUCAAGGCGCUUAAGCUUAAGUUCUGCUUUGUUUCACAUGUAUUUCCAAAUUUUGACAUUAAAUGAAUUCACCGUUGCUGAAAUGUCACCAACU